Molecule: non-coding RNA, 101 nt
Filed under: Mesodinium pulex
Lineage: Eukaryota; Ciliophora; Litostomatea; Cyclotrichida; Mesodiniidae
Source: RNAcentral
CGAAUGCUGGUAAGCCUAUUCCCGAUGGGUGCAAAGGAAAGAUCUUCGUCACGUCAGGUCUUGGUGGCAUGUCGGGUGCUCAGCCCAAGGCUGCAACGAUC